GCAGUGGUGGUUCAGUGGCAGAAUUCUUACCUUCCAUGCAGAAGACCUGGGUUCAAUUCCUGGCCAGUGCA
RNAcentral lists this transfer RNA (71 nucleotides) under Loxodonta africana (African savanna elephant). It matches the Rfam family "tRNA". From Rfam's summary of the family: Transfer RNA (tRNA) molecules are approximately 80 nucleotides in length. Their secondary structure includes four short double-helical elements and three loops (D, anti-codon, and T loops). Further hydrogen bonds mediate the characteristic L-shaped molecular structure. tRNAs have two regions of fundamental functional importance: the anti-codon, which is responsible for specific mRNA codon recognition, and the 3' end, to which the tRNAs corresponding amino acid is attached (by aminoacyl-tRNA synthetases). tRNAs cope with the degeneracy of the genetic code in two manners: having more than one tRNA (with a specific anti-codon) for a particular amino acid; and 'wobble' base-pairing, i.e. permitting non-standard base-pairing at the 3rd anti-codon position. The record is from Rfam by way of RNAcentral. Lineage: Eukaryota; Metazoa; Chordata; Mammalia; Proboscidea; Elephantidae.